ACUCCAUCCUCUCUUUCCUGACCCGACGACUCUCUCCCAAAUAGCGCUCGCUCUCCGACGACGGCGACGCUCCCUGCCGACGACGGCCUGUCUCUCUACUCGCCGGCCUCUUCCUCCCGAAUCGCGCUCUCUCCUGACGCUGGGCUUUCUCCGACGAGGGCCGCGCUCUCUCCGCUAUGGUCAAAGCCGUCUCCCGAGAAGCCCUAGAUCUGCGACGACAAUCCCCGCUUCACUUCGUACAGGGCCGACGAGGUCCUUGGUCGGAACUGGUGAGUUGGUCCCUCUCGUGUCGAUUUGAUUCGUGGGGCUUUUCCCGGCCGCCUCUGUUUUGGUCGGUCUAGCGGGUAGUGGAAAUGGAGAGGAUUUCUGGGCUCUGCUCUUCUUUUGUUUUGCUGUAUAGGGGUAUUCCUGGAUCUAUCUGUCGGAUGAAGGAGAGCUUGUUGUUUUGAAGUUUGAGAUAUGUUGUAAAGGAGCGAUUUUUCCGGCUGCCUCUGUUUUGGUCGUUCUAGUGGGUAGUGGAAAUGGAGAGGAUUUCUGGGCUCUGAUCUUCUUUGUCUUACUGUUUGGGGUAGUCCUGGGAUCUAUCUGAAGAAUGAAGGAGAACUUGUUGCUUUGAUGUUUGAGAUUUGUUGUAAAGGAGCGACUUUUCGCGGAGGGCACGUGUUAACUCGUUUGGUAUGUGAGAGAAUUUGAAGGAUAGAAGGAAUACGAGGUAAGAGAUGUUGAUUGGUGUACCAGAGAGCGUGAAAAUAGGGAGGUUUUAUUGGUACAUCAUCAGUAAUAAUUUCAAUUUGGGCUGUGGUCUUGUAAUAUAGAUAUAGCGUAUUUAAUAGGCAGACCAAUCAGAAUAUUUUCUCUCUUUUCAUCCAAUUAACCACGCUGCCGCCUUUGCCUUUGCCACCUCCGACCAAAAGCUCCUCCAGUCUCACUCCCCAAUUUAGCUGCCGCCUUGCGGAACCCGAAGGAUUACUUUACAUGGCUGAUCGCAUUGCUCAUAACUUGAAGGGUUCACAAGAUUCUGGGUCUGCUAUUGACAUGAUGACCAGCACCAUAACUGUCAGUAGUCAAACCAACUGUUGCUCAUAAUGCUGAGGAGGAUUUAACUGCUGUAAAGAAUAAAAUUUGGGAUAGUCAAACCAGAAGGUGGCAAGCAAUUGGCAUGCUAAGGCAUGUUCUGUUCAGCUACUCUACCUUGGAGAUUAAAGAAACAUGCCAUUGACUUCUUGCUUUGCACCACAGAAGGAGAUAUCUCACAGAGAGUGAGAGUGAAACUCUAGAUUUCUCAUAAUUUGUUCCUAGCCAUUUUGCUGCCUUGCAGGUAUUAUGGUGAAAGAUGUUGAUUUUAUGCUAUUUUCCUAGCCUUGCGGGUAUUAUAGUGGAAAAUGGCUUCACGCCAGUACUCGAGAGUGAUGCUGAAUGGGCAUUGGGAAGGAGGCAUUCUUCCCUCAGAGGCUAAAAGAUGUUCCACCCAUGGCUUCUUAAUCUGAUCCAGAUGAAUCGAGAAGAAACAAAAUCGAAGUCUCAUCAAAAGGGUAUUGGGAAGGAGGCAUUACAAAAUCAUUGCAUUGGUUUGCUACUGCAGUGACAUAAAUGCUGUGAAAAUUUUGAAUACAUGGAUUCUAAAUAGUCAAAUUCCUACGCCGCUUGGCAUUCAAAUUC
This is a long non-coding RNA of Eucalyptus grandis, 1659 nucleotides long. RefSeq lists it as uncharacterized. The transcript has 2 exons. The record is from RefSeq and is a predicted model, not a curated record. Lineage: Eukaryota; Viridiplantae; Streptophyta; Magnoliopsida; Myrtales; Myrtaceae.